UCCUACGGGGGGCAGCAGUAGGGAAUCUUCGGCAAUGGACGAAAGCCUGACGCAGCGACGCCGCGUGAGGGAUGAAGGUCUUCGGAUCGUAAACCUCUGUCAGCAGGGAAGAACGGUCACUGUGCUAAUCAGCAGUGAAUUGACGGUACCUGCAAAGGAAGCACCGGCUAACUCCGUGCCAGCAGCCGCGGUAAUACGGAGGGUGCGAGCGUUAAUCGGAAUUACUGGGCGUAAAGCGCUCGUAGGCGGUAUGUCAAGUCAAGGGUGAAAUCCCCGCGCUCAACGUGGGAACUGCCUUUGAAACU
RNAcentral lists this ribosomal RNA (305 nucleotides) under uncultured bacterium. RNAcentral describes it as "bacterial SSU rRNA". It matches the Rfam family "Bacterial small subunit ribosomal RNA", at positions 337 to 634 of the family's 1533-position model. The record is from RNAcentral.